AUUGAACGCUGGCGGCAUGGCUAAAACAUGCAAGUCGAGCGCGAAAGAGGAGCAAUCCUCAAGUAGAGCGGCGAAAGGGUGAGUAAUACGUUCCUACGUACCUCGAGGUCAGGGAUAGCCAGGGGAAACUCUGGGUAAUACCUGAUGUGGUCGAGAGAUCAAAGGCUUGCCGCCUUGAGAGCGGGGAACGUCCUAUCAGCUAGUUGGUGAGGUAACGGCUCACCAAGGCUUUGACGGGUAGCGGGUGUGAGAGCAUGGCCCGCCACAUCGGAACUGAGACACUGUCCGGACUCCUACGGGAGGCUGCAGUAACGAAUCUUCCGCAAUGCGCGCAAGCGUGACGGAGCAAUGCCGCGUGCAGGAUGAAGCCCUUCGGGGUGUAAACUGCUGUCAGGGUUUAGAAACACAAUGAUCAAACCCAAAGGAAGAGACGACUAACUCUGUGCCAGCAGUCGCGGUAAUACAGAGGUCUCGAGCGUU
RNAcentral lists this ribosomal RNA (480 nucleotides) under uncultured bacterium. RNAcentral describes it as "bacterial SSU rRNA". It matches the Rfam family "Bacterial small subunit ribosomal RNA", at positions 30 to 542 of the family's 1533-position model. The record is from RNAcentral.